This 332-nucleotide ribosomal RNA is filed under the name Bankia setacea. RNAcentral describes it as "SSU rRNA". It matches the Rfam family "Eukaryotic small subunit ribosomal RNA", at positions 51 to 363 of the family's 1831-position model. Lineage: Eukaryota; Metazoa; Mollusca; Bivalvia; Myida; Teredinidae. The record is from RNAcentral.
AUGCAUGUCUAAGUACACGCCUUUACACGGCAAAACUGCGAAUGGCUCAUUAAAUCAGUUAUGGUUCCUUAGAUCGUACAAUCCUACUUGGAUAACUGUGGCAAUUCUAGAGCUAAUACAUGCAACACAGCUCCGACCCUCGCGGGGAAGAGCGCUUUUGUUAGCCCAAAACCAACGCGGCGGUCGUUCACGCGGCCGUCGCUCUACUAUGGUGACUCUGAACAACUUUGUGCCGAUCGCACGGCCUUUGCGCCGGCGACGCAUCUUUCAAGUGUCUGCCCUAUCAACUGUCGAUGGUACGUGCUAUGCCUACCAUGGUGAUAACGGGUAAC